Molecule: ribosomal RNA, 497 nt
Filed under: uncultured bacterium
Lineage: Bacteria
Description: partial 16S ribosomal RNA
Rfam family: Bacterial small subunit ribosomal RNA
Source: RNAcentral
GAUGAACGCUGGCGGCGUGCCUAAUACAUGCAAGUCGAGCGAACAGACGAGGAGCUUGCUCCUCUGACGUUAGCGGCGGACGGGUGAGUAACACGUGGAUAACCUACCUAUAAGACUGGGAUAACUUCGGGAAACCGGAGCUAAUACCGGAUAAUAUAUUGAACCGCAUGGUUCAAUAGUGAAAGACGGUUUUGCUGUCACUUAUAGAUGGAUCCGCGCCGCAUUAGCUAGUUGGUAAGGUAACGGCUUACCAAGGCAACGAUGCGUAGCCGACCUGAGAGGGUGAGCGGCCACACUGGAACUGAGACACGGUCCAGACUCCUACGGGAGGCAGCAGUAGGGAAUCUUCCGCAAUGGGCGAAAGCCUGACGGAGCAACGCCGCGUGAGUGAUGAAGGUCUUCGGAUCGUAAAACUCUGUUGUUAGGGAAGAACAAAUGUGUAAGUAACUAUGCACGUCUUGACGGUACCUAAUCAGAAAGCCACGGCUAACUACGUG